Molecule: ribosomal RNA, 253 nt
Filed under: uncultured bacterium
Lineage: Bacteria
Description: partial 16S ribosomal RNA
Rfam family: Bacterial small subunit ribosomal RNA
Source: RNAcentral
UACGGAGGGUGCAAGCGUUGUUCGGAUUCAUUGGGCGUAAAGCGAGUGUAGGCGGUUUGACAAGUCGGAUGUGAAAUCCCGGGGCCCAACCCCGGAACUGCACCCGAUACUGUCUGGCUAGAGUCCCGGAGAGGGUGGCGGAAUUCCCGGUGUAGGGGUGAAAUCCGUAGAUAUCGGGAGGAACACCAGUGGCGAAGGCGGCCACCUGGACGGUGACUGACGCUGAGACUCGAAAGCGUGGGUAGCAAACAGG